RNAcentral lists this long non-coding RNA (305 nucleotides) under Bos taurus (domestic cattle). Its description in RNAcentral is "long non-coding RNA NONBTAT017280". The record is from RNAcentral. Lineage: Eukaryota; Metazoa; Chordata; Mammalia; Artiodactyla; Bovidae.
CUGCUCAUUUGCUCUGGGCAAAUUACCCUGUUUUUCCUGAGUUCAGAUCUUUUGCAAUCAUGUUGAUUUUAUCUUGUGUUUAUUAUUUUCCCUGGUUCCUGGGGUCUGACCUGGGAAGACCGUCCUGAUCUAGGAGAGGACGCUCAUCACCGCAAUCUUCACCUUACCUUUGGAUACAUUUUGUACCUGAGAUACUAGUGAGUGAAGCAGGGUGUGACAAACUCUCUGAAAGCUCUAGGAGAGAGCACAUGGAACUCCCACACAAGCCAGCAGGAAACUGCAGAGCCUAGGAGAAAAUCUGGAAU